RNAcentral lists this ribosomal RNA (1308 nucleotides) under Triticum aestivum (bread wheat). RNAcentral describes it as "partial small subunit ribosomal RNA". Lineage: Eukaryota; Viridiplantae; Streptophyta; Magnoliopsida; Poales; Poaceae. The record is from RNAcentral.
AUGCAGCUGCAGCUCGGCACGGUGCCGACGGUGGUGGUGUCGUCGGCUGAGGCGGCGCAGGAGGUGAUGAAGACGCACGACGAGGACUGUUGCACCCGGCCCGUGUCCCCGGGGAUGAAGCGGCUGUCCUAUGGCCUCAACAACGUCGGGUUCGCGCCCUAUGGCGCCUACUGGCAGGCGAUGCACAAGUUCCUCGUGGUCGAACUCUUCGGCGUGCGGCACGGCAAGGCCACAUGGCACGCACGUCAGCACCAGGUGGAGAAACUGAUGAGCACCUUGAGCGGCUUGGCCGGAGAGCCCGUAGCCCUCAAGGAGCACAUCUUCAGACUCGCCGACGGCAUCAUUGGCAUGCUGGGGUUUGGUGACAUGUACAACAGCGACAAGUUCCCACACCACAAGAACUUGGAGCACGUGCUCGAGGAGGCCGCACACGCGCAGGCCAGCUUUUCCGCCGAGGACUACUUCCCCAACAUUGUCGGCCGGCUGGUCGACCGAAUCACCGGCCUCGCUGCUCGCCGCGACCGGAUCUUCAAGCAGCUUGAUACCUUCUUCGAGAUCAUCAUUGAGCAGCAUCUUGACCCUCGGCGCGUCAAGCCUCACAAUGGUGACCUCGUUGACCGCCUCAUUGGCCUUUGGAAGGACAAAAGUGGCACCCUCAACAUCACAAGAGACCACGUCAAGGGCAUCAUCUUUGGCACAUUCAUUGGUGGCCCGGACACGGCCUCGGUGACGAUCCUAUGGGCGAUGGCGGAGCUGAUCCGGAAGCCACAACUACUGAAGAAGGUGCAAAACGAGAUCAGGGGCGUGGUGGGCGACAACGAGAGGGUGCGCCAGGACGACUUGGCCAAGCUGGGCUACCUCAAGAUGGUGGUCAAGGAGACCCUACGGCUACACCCACCAGCGACAAUGUUGCUGCCGAGGGAGGCCAUGAGGGACAUCCAAAUUGGCGGCUAUGAUGUGCCGGCCAAGACAUGGAUCUAUGUGAACGCAUGGGCCAUUGGCAGGGACCCGGCAAGCUGGCCUGAUGACCCAGAGGAGUUCAAACCAGAGAGGUUUGAGGCGAGCGAGAUAGACUUCAAGGGCGCACAUUUCGAGCUAACGCCAUUUGGCGCGGGGCGGCGGAUAUGCCCCGCCCUGUCUAUGAGCACGGCAACCGUGGAGUUCACGCUGGCCAACUUAUUGUACUGCUUUGAGUGGGCGCUCCCCGAGGGGACUGCAGUGAGCAUGGAGGAGGAAGGUAAGCUCAUCCCCCUCCUCAAGACGCCACUCGUGCUGGUGCCCACCGCGUACCGGCGGCCCGCCAGCUGA